GCUAAUACAUGCAAGUCGAGCGGAGUUGAAUUGAAAGUUUGUUUUCAAUUCAACUUAGCGGCGGACGGGUGAGUAACACGUAGGUAACCUGCCUGUAAGAGUGGGAUAACUACCGGAAACGGUAGAUAAUACCGGAUAACUUGUUUCUUCUCCUGAAGAGACACUGAAAGGGGGAGAAAUCUGCCACUUACAGAUGGGCCUGCGGCGUAUUAUAUAGGUGGAGAGGUAACGGCUCACCAAGGAGACGAUGCGUACCCGACCUGAGAGGGUGAACGGCCACACUGGGACUGAGACACGGCCCAGACUCCUACGGGAGGCAGCAGUAGGGAAUCUUCCGCAGUGGACGAAAGUCUGACGGAGCAACGCCGCGUGAGUGAUGAAGGUUUUCGGAUCGUAAAGCUCUGUUGCCAGGGAAGAACGUUUGGGAGAGUAACUGCUCUCAAGGUGACGGUACCUGAAAAAAAAGCCCCGGAUAACUACGUGCCAGCAGCCGCGGAAAUACGUAGGGGGCAAGCGGUGUCCGGAAUUAUUGGGCGUAAAGCGCGCGCAGGCGGNCAUUUAAGUUUGGUGUUUAAUCCCGGAGCUCAACUUCGGGUCGCACUGAAAACUGGAUGACUUGAGUACAGAAGAGGAGAGUGGAAUUCCACGUGUAGCGGAGAAAUGCGUAUAUAUGUGGAGGAACACCAGUGGAGAAGGNGACUCUCUGGUCUGUCACUGACGCUGANGCGCGAAAGCGUGGAGAGCAAACAGGAUUAU
This 756-nucleotide ribosomal RNA is filed under the name Paenibacillus sp. LKS-85. Its description in RNAcentral is "bacterial SSU rRNA". It matches the Rfam family "Bacterial small subunit ribosomal RNA", at positions 46 to 781 of the family's 1533-position model. The record is from RNAcentral. Lineage: Bacteria; Bacillati; Bacillota; Bacilli; Caryophanales; Paenibacillaceae.